CCUUCUUCAAUUGAUUCACACUACCAUACAUGGUAUUCUUAGCUCAAUUGAUAUUGUUAGAUGAUAAAUUGACGACAAUGUGAUAGCUUAGGAGAUGUCUAUUUUAUUGCUCUGAACAACUUCAUGACUAAGCCAGAAAACAAAUUCCUUUUUACUGUUGUCUGGCACUGUUUAUUUACUCCCUCGUUUGUGGGGCACUAUUUUGUAAUUUGUUUGAGUAAUCGAUAGUUGAAUACAUACCAUAAGCUCGAGAUAAUUAAGCUUAA
This 266-nucleotide long non-coding RNA is filed under the name Lupinus angustifolius (narrow-leaved blue lupine). Its description in RNAcentral is "long non-coding RNA (LANG_LNC000096)". The record is from RNAcentral. Lineage: Eukaryota; Viridiplantae; Streptophyta; Magnoliopsida; Fabales; Fabaceae.